GACGGAGGGGGCAAGCGUUGUCCGGAAUCACUGGGCGUAAAGCGCACGUAGGCGGGACGGUGCGUCGGUGCUGAAAGCGCCAGGCUUAACCUGGCGAGGCGUGCCGAUACGACCGACCUCGAGGCAGACAGAGGGUGGCGGAAUUCCGGGUGUAGUGGUGAAAUGCGUAGAGAUCCGGAGGAACGCCGGUGGCGCAAGCGGCCACCUGGGUCUGACCUGACGCUGAGGUGCGAAAGCGUGGGGAGCAAACCGGAUUAGAAACCCCCGUAGUCC
Molecule: ribosomal RNA, 273 nt
Filed under: uncultured bacterium
Lineage: Bacteria
Description: partial 16S ribosomal RNA
Rfam family: Bacterial small subunit ribosomal RNA
Source: RNAcentral